Molecule: non-coding RNA, 222 nt
Organism: Pelobates cultripes (western spadefoot toad)
Lineage: Eukaryota; Metazoa; Chordata; Amphibia; Anura; Pelobatidae
Source: the annotation of a GenBank genome assembly
GGUCUUUCUAACAGAGGCCAUCUCAGCGUCCAUUAGAUAUCCCCUGCUGGAAACAGUCACCUCCAGGCCCCAGUAGAGACUACAAUUGAGGGCUAAUGGGCCAUGGAGGGGAUUUCCAGCAGAGGCUAGAGUCUAAUGGGGCCUGGAGGGUGGUCUCUCCAACACUCUGGUUCCUAUUCACAAUAUAGCAACACAACAUAGCUCGCUGAUACCUAGGCCAAG